UACGGAGGGGGCUAGCGUUGUUCGGAAUUACUGGGCGUAAAGCGCGCGUAGGCGGACCUGCAAGUCGGGGGUGAAAGCCCGAGGCUCAACCUCGGAACUGCCUUCGAUACUGCGGGUCUCGAGUCCGGGAGAGGUGAGUGGAAUUCCUAGUGUAGAGGUGAAAUUCGUAGAUAUUAGGAAGAACACCAGUGGCGAAGGCGACUCACUGGCCCGGUACUGACGCUGAGGCGCGAAAGCGUGGGGAGCAAACAGG
RNAcentral lists this ribosomal RNA (253 nucleotides) under uncultured bacterium. RNAcentral describes it as "partial 16S ribosomal RNA". It matches the Rfam family "Bacterial small subunit ribosomal RNA", at positions 524 to 776 of the family's 1533-position model. The record is from RNAcentral.